AGGAAAAGAAACCAACAGGGAUUGCCCUAGUAACGGCGAGUGAAGCGGCAACAGCUCAAAUUUGAAAUCUGGCGCAAGCCCGAGUUGUAAUUUGUAGAGGAUGCUUCUGGGCAGCGGCCGGUCUAAGUUCCUUGGAACAGGACGUCACAGAGGGUGAGAAUCCCGUACGUGACCGGCGCGCACCCUCCACGUAGCUCCUUCGACGAGUCGAGUUGUUUGGGAAUGCAGCUCUAAAUGGGAGGUAAAUUUCUUCUAAAGCUAAAUACCGGCCAGAGACCGAUAGCGCACAAGUAGAGUGAUCGAAAGAUGAAAAGCACUUUGGAAAGAGAGUUAAAAAGCACGUGAAAUUGUUGAAAGGGAAGCGCUUGCAACCAGACUCCGCGGCGGUGUUCCGCCGGUCUUCUGACCGGUCCACUCGCCGCCGCGGGGCCAACAUCGUCUGGGGCCGCCGGAUAAGACCGCAGGAAUGUGGCUCCCUCGGGAGUGUUAUAGCCUGCGGUGAUGCGGCGCGCCUCGGGCGAGGUCCGCGCUUCGGCAAGGAUGUUGGCGUAAUGGUUGCCAGCGGCCCGUCUUGAAACACGGACCAAGGAGUCUAACAUCUAUGCGAGUGUUCGGGUGUCAAACCCCUACGCGUAAUGAAAGUGAACGGAGGUGGGAGCUUCGGCGCACCAUCGACCGAUCCUGAUGUCCUCGGAUGGAUUUGAGUAAGAGCAUAGCUGUUGGGACCCGAAAGAUGGUGAACUAUGCCUGAAUAGGGUGAAGCCAGAGGAAACUCUGGUGGAGGCUCGCAGCGGUUCUGACGUGCAAAUCGAUCGUCAAAUUUGGGUAUAGGGGCGAAAGACUAAUCGAACCAU
This 854-nucleotide ribosomal RNA is filed under the name Mycosphaerelloides madeirae. RNAcentral describes it as "eukaryotic LSU rRNA". It matches the Rfam family "Eukaryotic large subunit ribosomal RNA", at positions 54 to 943 of the family's 3401-position model. The record is from RNAcentral. Lineage: Eukaryota; Fungi; Ascomycota; Dothideomycetes; Mycosphaerellales; Mycosphaerellaceae.